UACAAUUUGUUUAUUUCAGUU
Molecule: non-coding RNA, 21 nt
Filed under: Caenorhabditis elegans
Lineage: Eukaryota; Metazoa; Nematoda; Chromadorea; Rhabditida; Rhabditidae
Source: RNAcentral